RNAcentral lists this ribosomal RNA (843 nucleotides) under uncultured Bacillota bacterium. Its description in RNAcentral is "bacterial SSU rRNA". It matches the Rfam family "Bacterial small subunit ribosomal RNA", at positions 58 to 936 of the family's 1533-position model. Lineage: Bacteria; Bacillati; Bacillota. The record is from RNAcentral.
CAAGUCGAACGAGAAAGUCCGCAAGGAUGAGUAAAGUGGCGUACGGGUGAGUAACACGUGGAUAACCUGCCCUUUAGUGGGGAAUACCGCUGGGAAACCGGCGACAAUACCGCAUAAGCUCGAGAGAGGAAAGCAGCAAUGCGCUGAAGGAGGGGUCCGCGGCCGAUUAGCUAGUUGGCAGGGUAAAAGCCUACCAAGGCUGUGAUCGGUAGCCGGCCUGAGAGGGCACACGGCCACACUGGCACUGAAACACGGGCCAGACUCCUACGGGAGGCAGCAGUGGGGAAUCUUGCACAAUGGGGGAAACCCUGAUGCAGCGACGCCGCGUGAGCGAUGAAGCCCUUCGGGGUGUAAAGCUCUUUCGGCAGGGACGAUUAUGACGGUACCUGCAGAAGCAGCUGCGGCUAACUACGUGCCAGCAGCCGCGGUAAUACGUAGGCAGCAAGCGUUGUUCGGAGUUACUGGGCGUAAAGGGUGCGUAGGCGGCUUCUUAAGUCUGGUGUGAAAUCUCCCGGCUCAACUGGGAGGGUGCGCCGGAUACUGAGGGGCUAGAGUGUGGGAGAGGAAAGUGGAAUUCCUGGUGUAGCGGUGAAAUGCGUAGAUAUCAGGAGGAACACCGGUGGUGUAAACGGCUUUCUGGACCAUAACUGACGCUGAGGCACGAAAGCGUGGGUAGCAAACAGGAUUAGAUACCCUGGUAGUCCACGCCCUAAACGAUGCAUAUUUGGUGUGGGCCAUUCAUUUGGUCCGUGCCGGAGCUAACGCGUUAAAUAUGCCGCCUGGGGAGUACAGUCGCAAGGCUGAAACUCAAAGGAAUUGACGGGGGCCCGCACAAGCGGUGGA